Molecule: ribosomal RNA, 413 nt
Filed under: uncultured Glomus
Lineage: Eukaryota; Fungi; Glomeromycota; Glomeromycetes; Glomerales; Glomeraceae
Description: SSU rRNA
Rfam family: Eukaryotic small subunit ribosomal RNA
Source: RNAcentral
AGCAGCCGCGGUAAUUCCAGCUCCAAUAGCGUAUAUUAAAGUUGUUGCAGUUAAAAAGCUCGUAGUUGAAUUUCGGGAUCAGUACGCCGGUCGUGCCUUCGGUAUGCACUGACGUUACUGAUUUCUACCUUCUGACGAACCGUCAUGCCAUUAAUUUGGUGUGGCGGGGAAUCAGGACUGUUACUUUGAAAAAUUAGAGUGUUUAAAGCAGGCUCGCGCUUGAAUACAUUAGCAUGGAAUAAUGAAAUAGGACGUUUGGUCUUAUUUUGUUGGUUUCUAGGAUCGACGUAAUGAUUAAUAGGGAUAGUUGGGGGCAUUAGUAUUCAAUUGUCAGAGGUGAAAUUCUUGGAUUUAUUGAAGACUAACUACUGCGAAAGCAUUUGCCAAGGAUGUUUUCAUUAAUCAAGAACGAA